AUAAUAGAUUUCAUCUUCAUCAUCAGUUGGGCUUGUGUGUUACUAAUGAACAAGUGGACAAUCUGGCAUGCCUUUUCUAAGGAAUGGUGGUAUAUAUUACUGAGUAUCUUCUGCAUUGUGGAAAUGCUGUAUGUAAUAUUUGCAGAGGCUAAUGAGUUCUUAACAUUAAGGAAUAAGAUGCGAAAGUGGAAGCUUUGGAGGAAAAGUCAUAUAUUACAAGACCAUAUUUAUUGCCAUCCUCAUUGGCCCCAGAAACCAACACCAUGAGCCAAUAUUGAAGAAUACAAUAAAGAAGUACCCUGCGCUACCACAAAUGAAAGCAAAAUACUGUGGAUGAUGGAAAUUUGAAGUGAAAACAUAAAGUGCUAAAAAUAUUGUAUCCUGCUCUGUUACCUUGAUGCA
Chiloscyllium plagiosum (whitespotted bambooshark) is the source of this 402-nucleotide long non-coding RNA. RefSeq lists it as uncharacterized. The record is from RefSeq and is a predicted model, not a curated record. NCBI's taxonomy places the organism in Eukaryota, Metazoa, Chordata, Chondrichthyes, Orectolobiformes, Hemiscylliidae.